Molecule: ribosomal RNA, 465 nt
Filed under: uncultured bacterium
Lineage: Bacteria
Description: partial 16S ribosomal RNA
Rfam family: Bacterial small subunit ribosomal RNA
Source: RNAcentral
GACGAACGCUGGCGGCGUGCUUAACACAUGCAAGUCGAACGGAAAGGCCCCUUUGGGGGUACUCGAGUGGCGAACGGGUGCGUAACACGUGAGUAACCUGCACUUGACUUCGGGAUAACUUCAGGUAACUGGGGCCAAUACCGGAUAGGAAUCCUUUCUGGAUGGUGGGGGUUGGAAAGCGUCGGCGGUUUUUGAUGGCAUGGAUGGUUAUCAGCUUGUUGGAGGGGUAAUGGCUUACCAAGGCGUUGUCGGGUAGCCGGCCUGAGUGGGCGACCGGCGACAUUGAGACUUAGAGACGGCCCAGGCUCCUACGGGAGGGAGAAGUGGGGAAUAUUGCACAAUGGGCGGAGGCCGGAUGCAGCAGCGCCGCGGGCGGGAAGACGGCCUUCGGGUUGUAAACCGCUUUCAUCAGGGGCGAAGCUUGUGGUGACGGUACCUGCAGAAGAAGCACCGGCUAACUACGUG